RNAcentral lists this ribosomal RNA (525 nucleotides) under uncultured bacterium. RNAcentral's name for it is "partial 16S ribosomal RNA". It matches the Rfam family "Bacterial small subunit ribosomal RNA", at positions 355 to 896 of the family's 1533-position model. The record is from RNAcentral.
UGGGGAAUAUUGGACAAUGGGGGCAACCCUGAUCCAGCAAUGCCGCGUGUGUGAAGAAGGUUUUCGGAUUGUAAAGCACUUUCGACGGGGACGAUGAUGACGGUACCCGUAGAAGAAGCCCCGGCUAACUUCGUGCCAGCAGCCGCGGUAAUACGAAGGGGGCUAGCGUUGCUCGGAAUGACUGGGCGUAAAGGGCGUGUAGGCGGUUUGUACAGUCAGAUGUGAAAAUCCCCGGGCUUAACCUGGGAGCUGCAUUUGAUACGUGCAGACUAGAGUGUGAGAGAGGGUUGUGGAAUUCCCAGUGUAGAGGUGAAAUUCGUAGAUAUUGGGAAGAACACCGGUGGCGAAGGCGGCAACCUGGCUCAUAACUGACGCUGAGGCGCGAAAGCGUGGGGAGCAAACAGGAUUAGAUACCCUGGUAGUCCACGCUGUAAACGAUGUGUGCUAGAUGUUGGGUAACUUAGUUAUUCAGUGUCGCAGUUAACGCGUUAAGCACACCGCCUGGGGAGUACGGCCGCAAGGUUG